Molecule: ribosomal RNA, 796 nt
Filed under: uncultured Archaeoglobi archaeon
Lineage: Archaea; Methanobacteriati; Methanobacteriota; Archaeoglobi
Description: bacterial SSU rRNA
Rfam family: Archaeal small subunit ribosomal RNA
Source: RNAcentral
CGGCUGCUCAGUAACACGUGGACAACCUGCCCUCGGGUGGGGGAUAACCCCGGGAAACUGGGGCUAAUCCCCCAUAGGUGAUGGGUGCUGGAAUGCCCCAUCUCCGAAAGCGCUUAGCGCCCGAGGAUGGGUCUGCGGCGGAUUAGGUAGUUGGUGGGGUAACGGCCCACCAAGCCUAAGAUCCGUACGGGCUGUGGGAGCAGGAGCCCGGAGAUGGACCCUGAGACAAGGGUCCAGGCCCUACGGGGCGCAGCAGGCGCGAAACCUCCGCAAUGCGGGAAACCGCGACGGGGUUAGCCGGAGUGCCCGUGCAUUGCACGGGCUGUCGGGGUGCCUAAACAGCACCCCAUAGCAAGGGCCGGGCAAGGCCGGUGGCAGCCGCCGCGGUAAGACCGGCGGCCCGAGUGGCGGCCACUCUUAUUGGGCCUAAAGCGUCCGUAGCCGGCCCAGUAAGUCCCCCGGGAAAUCUGGUCGCUUAACGAUCAGACUUCCGGGGGAUACUGCUGGGCUAGGGACCGGGAGAGGCCGAGGGUAUUCCCGGGGUAGGGGUGAAAUCCUGUAAUCCCGGGAGGACCACCUGUGGCGAAGGCGCUCGGCUGGAACGGGUCCGACGGUGAGGGACGAAGGCCUGGGGAGCGAACCGGAUUAGAUACCCGGGUAGUCCAGGCUGUAAACGAUGCGGGCUAGGUGUCACCGGAGCUACGAGCUCCGGUGGUGCCGGAGGGAAGCCGUUAAGCCCGCCGCCUGGGAAGUACGGCCGCAAGGCUGAAACUUAAAGGAAUUGGCGGGGGAGCAG